RNAcentral lists this ribosomal RNA (301 nucleotides) under uncultured bacterium. RNAcentral's name for it is "partial 16S ribosomal RNA". It matches the Rfam family "Bacterial small subunit ribosomal RNA", at positions 509 to 807 of the family's 1533-position model. The record is from RNAcentral.
CAGUCGCCGCGGUAACACGUAGGUGGCAAGCGUUGUCCGGAGUUAUUGGGCGUAAAGGGCUCGCAGGCGGUUUCUUAAGUCUGGUGUGAAAGCCCCCGGCUCAACCGGGGAGGGUCAUUGGAAACUGGGAAACUUGAGUGCAGAAGAGGAGAGUGGAAUUCCACGUGUAGCGGUGAAAUGCGUAGAGAUGUGGAGGAACACCAGUGGCGAAGGCGACUCUCUGGUCUGUAACUGACGCUGAGGCGCGAAAGCGUGGGGAGCAAACAGGAUUAGAUACCCGCGUAGUCCCUGUCUCUUAUAC